ACACAUGCAAGUCGAGGGGCAGCGCGGGAUAGCAAUAUUCUGGCGGCGACCGGCGGAAGGGUGCGUAACGCGUGAGCGACAUGCCCGUUGCCCGGGGACAACCGGUGGAAACGCCGACUAAUCCCCGAUGGGAUACGAUGCUGCAUGGCAUUGUAUUGAAAGUUACGGCGGCGACGGAUUGGCUCGCGUCCGAUUAGCUUGUUGGCGGGGUAACGGCCCACCAAGGCUACGAUCGGUAGGGGUUCUGAGAGGAAGGCCCCCCACAAUGGGACUGAGACACGGCCCAUACUCCUACGGGAGGCAGCAGUGAGGAAUAUUGGUCAAUGGGCGGAAGCCUGAACCAGCCAUGCCGCGUGCGGGAAGGAGGCCCUAUGGGCUGUGAACCGCUUUUGCCUGGGGGCAAUAAGGGCGUCGCGCACGCCCGAUGAGAGUACCAGGCGAAUAAGCAUCGGCUAACUCCGUGCCAGCAGCCGCGGUAAUACGGGGGAUGCGAGCGUUAUCCGGAUUCAUUGGGUUUAAAGGGUGCGUAGGCUGUGCGUCAAGUCGGGGGUGAAAUUCCGGUGCUCAACACCGGGGCUGCCCUUGAUACUGUCGCGCUGGAGUGCGGAUGCCGCCGGAGGAAUGAGUGGUGUAGCGGUGAAAUGCUUAGAUAUCACUCAGAACACCGAUUGCGAAGGCAUCUGGCGAAUCCGUAACUGACGCUGAGGCACGAAAGCGUGGGGAUAGAACAGGAUUAGAUACCCUGGUAUUCCACGCCGUAAACGAUGAUGGCUAACCGCCGGCGACACACUGUCGGUGGCCAAGCGAAAGCGAUAAGCCAUCCACCUGGGGAGUACGUC
This 839-nucleotide ribosomal RNA is filed under the name uncultured bacterium. RNAcentral's name for it is "bacterial SSU rRNA". It matches the Rfam family "Bacterial small subunit ribosomal RNA", at positions 51 to 886 of the family's 1533-position model. The record is from RNAcentral.